Molecule: ribosomal RNA, 465 nt
Filed under: Vreelandella stevensii
Lineage: Bacteria; Pseudomonadati; Pseudomonadota; Gammaproteobacteria; Oceanospirillales; Halomonadaceae
Description: partial 16S ribosomal RNA
Rfam family: Bacterial small subunit ribosomal RNA
Source: RNAcentral
CCCACGGGUGGCAGCAGUGGGGAAUAUUGGACAAUGGGCGAAAGCCUGAUCCAGCCAUGCCGCGUGUGUGAAGAAGGCCUUCGGGUUGUAAAGCACUUUCAGUGGGGAAGAAAGCCUUGGGGCUAAUACCCUCGAGGAAGGACAUCACCCACAGAAGAAGCACCGGCUAACUCCGUGCCAGCAGCCGCGGUAAUACGGAGGGUGCGAGCGUUAAUCGGAAUUACUGGGCGUAAAGCGCGCGUAGGCGGUCUGAUAAGCCGGUUGUGAAAGCCCCGGGCUCAACCUGGGAACGGCAUCCGGAACUGUCAGGCUAGAGUGCAGGAGAGGAAGGUAGAAUUCCCGGUGUAGCGGUGAAAUGCGUAGAGAUCGGGAGGAAUACCAGUGGCGAAGGCGGCCUUCUGGACUGACACUGACGCUGAGGUGCGAAAGCGUGGGUAGCAAACAGGAUUAGAUACCCCUGUAGUC